CCUACGGGUGGCAGCAGUGGGGAAUAUUGCACAAUGGGGGAAACCCUGAUGCAGCGACGCCGCGUGAGUGAAGAAGGAUCUCGGUACGUAAAGCUCUAUCAGUAGGGAAGAAAAUGACGGUACCUGACUAAGAAGCACCGGCUAACUACGUGCCAGCAGCCGCGGUAAUACGUAGGGGGCAAGCGUUAUCCGGAUUGACUGGGUGUAAAGGGAGCGUAGGCGGCAGCACAAGUCUGGAGUGAAAUCCCGGGGCUUAACCCCGGAACUGCCUUUGAAACUGUGCGGCUGGAGUGCAGGAGGGGUAAGCGGAAUUCCUGGUGUAGCGGUGAAAUGCGUAGAUAUUAGGAGGAACACCGGUGGCGAAGGCGGCUUACUGGACUGUAACUGACGUUGAGGCUCGAAAGCGUGGGGAGCAAACAGGAUUAGAUACCCUAGUAGUC
Molecule: ribosomal RNA, 440 nt
Filed under: uncultured bacterium
Lineage: Bacteria
Description: partial 16S ribosomal RNA
Rfam family: Bacterial small subunit ribosomal RNA
Source: RNAcentral